RNAcentral lists this ribosomal RNA (201 nucleotides) under uncultured Lactobacillus sp. RNAcentral describes it as "partial 16S ribosomal RNA". It matches the Rfam family "Bacterial small subunit ribosomal RNA", at positions 164 to 354 of the family's 1533-position model. Lineage: Bacteria; Bacillati; Bacillota; Bacilli; Lactobacillales; Lactobacillaceae. The record is from RNAcentral.
UAAUACCGGAUAAGAAAGACGGAUCGCAUGAUCAGCUUUUAAAAGGACGGCGUAAGCUGUCGCUAUGGGAUGGCCCCGCGGUGCAUUAGCUAGUUGGUAAGGUAAAGGCUUACCAAGGCGAUGAUGCAUAGCCGAGUUGAGAGACUGAUCGGCCACAUUGGGACUGAGACACGGCCCAAACUCCUACGGGAGGCAGCAGAG